Molecule: ribosomal RNA, 1052 nt
Filed under: Nocardiopsis dassonvillei
Lineage: Bacteria; Bacillati; Actinomycetota; Actinomycetes; Streptosporangiales; Nocardiopsidaceae
Description: bacterial SSU rRNA
Rfam family: Bacterial small subunit ribosomal RNA
Source: RNAcentral
CCGGCCUGAGAGGGCGACCGGCCACACUGGGACUGAGACACGGCCCAGACUCCUGCGGGAGGCAGCAGUGGGGAAUAUUGCGCAAUGGGCGAAAGCCUGACGCAGCGACGCCGCGUGGGGGAUGACGGCCUUCGGGUUGUAAACCUCUUUUACCACCAACGCAGGCUCCCAGUUCUCCGGGGGUUGACGGUAGGUGGGGGAUAAGGACCGGCUAACUACGUGCCAGCAGCCGCGGUAAUACGUAGGGUCCGAGCGUUGUCCGGAAUUAUUGGGCGUAAAGAGCUCGUAGGCGGCGUGUCGCGUCUGCUGUGAAAGACCGGGGCUUAACUCCGGGUUCUGCAGUGGAUACGGGCAUGCUAGAGGUAGGUAGGGGAGACUGGAAUUCCUGGUGUAGCGGUGAAAUGCGCAGAUAUCAGGAGGAACACCGGUGGCGAAGGCGGGUCUCUGGGCCUUACCUGACGCUGAGGAGCGAAAGCAUGGGGAGCGAACAGGAUUAGAUACCCUGGUAGUCCAUGCCGUAAACGUUGGGCGCUAGGUGUGGGGACUUUCCACGGUUUCCGCGCCGUAGCUAACGCAUUAAGCGCCCCGCCUGGGGAGUACGGCCGCAAGGCUAAAACUCAAAGGAAUUGACGGGGGCCCGCACAAGCGGCGGAGCAUGUUGCUUAAUUCGACGCAACGCGAAGAACCUUACCAAGGUUUGACAUCACCCGUGGACUCGCAGAGAUGUGAGGUCAUUUAGUUGGCGGGUGACAGGUGGUGCAUGGCUGUCGUCAGCUCGUGUCGUGAGAUGUUGGGUUAAGUCCCGCAACGAGCGCAACCCUUGUUCCAUGUUGCCAGCACGUAAUGGUGGGGACUCAUGGGAGACUGCCGGGGUCAACUCGGAGGAAGGUGGGGAUGACGUCAAGUCAUCAUGCCCCUUAUGUCUUGGGCUGCAAACAUGCUACAAUGGCCGGUACAAUGGGCGUGCGAUACCGUAAGGUGGAGCGAAUCCCUAAAAGCCGGUCUCAGUUCGGAUUGGGGUCUGCAACUCGACCCCAUGAAGGUGGAGUCGC